RNAcentral lists this unclassified non-coding RNA (341 nucleotides) under soil metagenome. Its description in RNAcentral is "partial contains 5.8S ribosomal RNA, internal transcribed spacer 2, and large subunit ribosomal RNA". The stretch from base 1 to 120 matches the Rfam family "5.8S ribosomal RNA", at positions 35 to 154 of the family's 154-position model. The record is from RNAcentral.
GAUGAAGAACGCAGCGAAAUGCGAUAAGUAGUGUGAAUUGCAGAAUUCAGUGAAUCAUCGAAUCUUUGAACGCACAUUGCGCCCUUUGGUAUUCCAAAGGGCAUGCCUGUUCGAGCGUCAUUUGUACCCUCAAGCUUUGCUUGGUGUUGGGCGUCUUGUCUCUAGCUUUGCUGGAGACUCGCCUUAAAGUAAUUGGCAGCCGGCCUACUGGUUUCGGAGCGCAUCACAAGUCGCACUCUCUAUCAGCAAAGGUCUAGCAUCCAUUAAGCCUUUUUUUCAACUUUUGACCUCGGAUCAGGUAGGGAUACCCGCUGAACUUAAGCAUAUCAAUAAGCGGAGGA